AUUGAACGCUGGCGGCAUGCCUUACACAUGCAAGUCGAACGGCAGCACGGGUGCUUGCACCCGGUGGCGAGUGGCGAACGGGUGAGUAAUACAUCGGAACGUACCUUAUCGUGGGGGAUAACGCAGCGAAAGCUGUGCUAAUACCGCAUACGCCCUGAGGGGGAAAGCGGGGGAUCGCAAGACCUCGCGCGAUUAGAGCGGCCGAUGCCUGGUUAGCUAGUUGGUGGGGUAAAAGCCCACCAAGGCGACGAUCAGUAGCUGGUCUGAGAGGACGAUCAGCCACACUGGGACUGAGACACGGCCCAGACUCCUACGGGAGGCAGCAGUGGGGAAUUUUGGACAAUGGGGGCAACCCUGAUCCAGCAAUGCCGCGUGAGUGAAGAAGGCCUUCGGGUUGUAAAGCUCUUUUGUCAGGGAAGAAACACCGGCUCUAACACAGUCCGGGAAUGACGGUACCUGAAGAAUAAGCACCGGCUAACUACGUGCCAGCCGCCGCCGUAA
Molecule: ribosomal RNA, 501 nt
Filed under: uncultured bacterium
Lineage: Bacteria
Description: partial 16S ribosomal RNA
Rfam family: Bacterial small subunit ribosomal RNA
Source: RNAcentral